UUGUUUCUCAUAAUUAUCUUUAUUUUAGAGAUGUGUUUAACAUCACAUUUAUGUUUGUACACCCUGUUUAGUAAUUUACAUUUUUACAGUUUAUAAUUCAUACUUACACAAUUUGAAUAUCAUUCAGAAAUUUCAACAUUUCUUUUUUUCUUUCUUUCAAAAAUACAACAAGUUUUUUAUAACAGCAUAUGAAUGCACAGAAAUUUAAUUGUGCUGAUAAAGCUUGUGUACUGUAAGUGAUGAUUUAUUAUUUUAUACAACAACUCUGAAUUUAAUACAAAAAUUAAAUAUUAACAUUCCAACAUGCUCCACAUCUUAAAUGUAUCAAUCAUGUAUGAGUAUUACACACUUCCAUCUGAUAUUUGUACUUGUAUCAUUUCUUACAUACAGUCGACAGAGAAAUACAAGAUUUAAGAAUGAAUGAGAGUAGGGCAGAUGAAAACACGCAAAUGGGUGACACUUAAGAUGCAGCUUAAACUCUGCACCAGUCAAAAGAGUUGAGUUAGAUACAUUUAUAUAAAAAAUAAGCCAUUUUGAGAAUUGGAUUUUGGUGGAUUCCUCAAAUGAGUACAUUUCUUGAAUCCUAACUACACAAUUCUGAUACAAUUAUUUCAGUUUUAAGUGCAGAACAUGCAAUGCUGUGUCACGUUUCUUUUCUGAGAUAUAACAUUGAUUGAAUAUCCAUCUACCAUAAUUCUAAAAGCAUAAUUUUGUUCCGCACAAUGUAAUUCCAUACUUGCACACAUUUCAAUAUACAGAUUCCCACUGGCGAGUUUCAAGGAUGUUCUGGCAAUAUACAGUUUUUAUUUAUUUACAUUCUUUUAAUAUAUCAUAAUGGAAGUUUAUAACAAAAAAUAUAUUACUCUCAUCUGAAUACGCUGGCUAUUCCACACAGAAGGAAACAACAAAAUAAAUUAUUCACCAACAACAAGCAUCAAAGUAUGUCACAUUUAGCAACUUGAAGGUACAUAAUGAAGUCAGCAGACAUAUUUUAAUGGGUGCAUUGCCUGGUCUAGUAUCAAAACAGCACCUCUUUGGAUGAAUGUUGAGAACAAUGAUAUGGAGAACUACUAGUCAUUAACACUAAUAAAAUAAUGGCACCUUUCCAGCAUUGAUGAGUAGUGUCCCUUUUAACAUUCACAAACAUUCUAGAGGUCUAAAAAAAAAUUGCUUAAAAUUAUCAUGAAAUUAAGUUUCAAAGUACAGUAUAAAGGAAUAGAUAGCUGUACCAGUAUAUAACGCCUUAUAUUAAAAAUCUGUUUUUGGGAAAACGCAAAAUUAAAAACACAAGAAGGCUGAAGAACGAUGCUUUAACUGUUCAUAUGCAGAAGUAUCAUUUGGUUACAAAGGAUGGUAGUUAAUAAUGCAGAUACGUCCAGAGUUACUCAUCUUGAGAACAGUGUGAAGGUGCUAAGAAAAUAAAAUUAUGCAGGACCACUUCCAUAACCAGACAGUUAUCAUUGUCGCCUUCAGUGUGGAAGGACCUGGGUUCAAUUCCUCAUACCUCCUUAGACCUCUUCCGAGAUGAGAAUGUCUGGAAUGAUAUCCACUCAGCCUUGUGAGACCAAAUGAGGAGCUAUUUGAAUAAAGAACCAGCAGCACCAUCAGGAUUCAUCUAAUGGCAAUAACAGGUGGGGGGAUUUGUGACAUGCUGAUCACAUGUCCCACAGUCUAAGACUGCUUCUCAUACUAGCUUGCAGGCAACAGUCAGCCAGAUGGAACUGCCUAAGGCCUAAUCCAUGAGGGGUGUACUUUUAAAUCAUGUACACUGAGCACAUAAAUGCAUAUCGUGUGCGUGUGUGUGUGUGUGUGUGUGUGUGUGUGUGUGAAGUGGGGGAAAGUAGGGGAAGAGGGAGAGGCUCGUAGCAGCAAGCAACAGUUUCAGUAAGUAACUUGGCAAGCAAUAGGCAACUGUGACUGUGACAUUAAUAAAAAACAAUAUUAUGAGAAGGAAAAUUGCUACCCACCAUAUAGUGGAGAUGCUGAGUCACAGAUAGGCACAACAAAAAGACUCUUAAUGUUUAUAGCUUUCGGCCGUUAAGGCCUUUGACAACAACAGACAGACAUAUGCACGUAUACACGUAUUCAUGCAGACGCAAUUCACACACAUGACUGCAGUCUGAGGCAACUGAAACCAUAGUGGUUUCAGUUGCCUGAGACUGCAGUCGUGUGUGUGUGAGUUGCAUUUGCUUGAGAGAGAGAGAGAGAGAGAGAGAGAGAGAGAGAGAGUGAGCAUGUGUGCGCACUCCCAUGUAUGUCUGUCUGCUGUUGACGAAGACCUUAACAGCCAAAAGCUAUACUUGUGAGAGAAUCUUUUUGUUGUGCCUAUCUGCGACUCAGCAUCUCUGCUAUAUGGCAAGUAGCAACUUUUCUUCUCAUAAUAUGGUUACUUUCCAUCCUGGAUUUUCAUUGAUUGAUAAAUAAAAGAAAAAUAUACACAAAAACUAAUUUAUUACUAAAAGCUACAUUCAGUAUGAUUUCUUUUCGAUAUAAUCCACUCAACGACUGAGUCAUCUGUCAUAACUGUGGACAAGAUUUCCAAUACCCUCUUCAUAAAAUGUUACACCAAUUAACUGUGAAUGGAGAUAAGACCCAUCAUUUGUUCCCUGCAAGCAGAAGAGAAUAGUGCACCAAAAAUUCAUCGAAGAACAAGUAGAGAGCCAGUCUAACCAGAUGAAGAGGUAUAUUGACUUCUGGAAUUGUUCUGAUCCAUAACAACACCCGUCGUCAGUGCUAGUGCAACCCGAUGGCUCAUUGUGCAAUUUCAGUGGGAUGGUUUUGAUCACCCGCCAUACAGUCCUGACAAUGCACCAAGUGAGUUUCAUCUUUUCCCAGAACAGAAUAAUUACUAGGAGGGCUGUGCUUCCAAACUAAUGAUGAAGAUUAAGGUAAUAUCAACACUCAUUCAAUUUAUCGGCAGCAACAUUUUAUGAAGAGUGUAUUGGAAAGCUUGUCCACAGGUAUGACAAAUGCUUCGAUCAUUACAGUGGUUAUGCCGAAAAGUACCCAUAAGUAUACAUACUUUUAGCAAUAAAAUACAUUUUAUAUACACUUGUUUUUUUAAGACCGAUUAGAGGUUAAAAAAUGACACUCAUAAAUACACCCUAAAAACAAAAUGUCUUUGUUUGGCAUAAUGGUAAUUACCUUGUAAAUUUCAAACUCUGAAAACACCUCUAUUUUUACAAUGUAGCAUUUUGUUCUUGAAGUAACAGUUAUGUACAGGAAACAAGACUUUACCUCAACCUCACCACCCUUCACUGUCCUGAAAACCUUAUUCCACUGAAAGGAUUAAUUCACAGCUUCCUAAUGUUAAUCAUUUAAGUCUUCUUACCAAAAACAAAAUCUUAUCCCACACUCAAUAUGUCCCUUAUGUUGUCCCAUCUUACAGUAUGACUGAAAAUCAAUGAAAAGUUGUAAUACUGUGCAGUGUCAUUCAUACAGCAUUUAAAUGUACAUAAUUGCAAAUUGUGUACUUAGUAGAAGUUGGAUUGCCAACAGCAUCUGGAUAGCUUCCAUACACAGAUCAGUACCAGAUUAAGAAUUUAUGAUAAAAAAUUUCAUGAGUUUGUCAUUUUUUUGCACUCAAGUCACACUGAACUUACAAAAUGAAGCUCAAAGGUCGAAGUAUAGGAAUGAGAUUUCUUGUAUCACUUUUCUUAUAACAAUCUUGUACAUUGGUUGUCUCAGGGACCACAGACAACUAAAGGAGAAAUCUAACAUCCUUUUAUGCAGUAUAUAUUUAAUUUCUGCACUCUUAUGUAUGGUGUCAGGAGUCCUUUAUCUUUAAUAUGAAGGAUGUAUUCACAGACAACAAAGAAGAAUUCAGGCUCAAGAAACAUUACUCUAAAAUCAGUUUUAGCAAUGACAAGAAAAGAGAAUGUGCCAUGUAGAGAAAGAACACUAACUGGAGUUUAAAAGAAAUGAUAAAGGAACAAAUGGUGCACCCCUUUACAGAGAAUGCUCAAGAAAAGUUGCCUCAAUAAGUGUUAAAUUACCAACCAUAAAAAAAAAAAUGAAAUGCUGAAGGAACAGUAGUAGUAGUAGUAGUAGUAG
Schistocerca cancellata (South American locust) is the source of this 4053-nucleotide long non-coding RNA. RefSeq lists it as uncharacterized. Lineage: Eukaryota; Metazoa; Arthropoda; Insecta; Orthoptera; Acrididae. The record is from RefSeq and is a predicted model, not a curated record. The transcript has 2 exons.